GCUUAACUGCACUUCCUGCCGCGAGUGUCUUGGGUAAUUGUGGCUCAGCGAAUCUUGGAAAAGCUCAAGGCCCCAGAACAAACCAUUCCAAUUCAGGAGUGAGGGGAAUGUUGGAGCGAAAUGGGUUUGAAGAGUGCGUGGUGGAUGGGAGAUUGAGCAGCCGUCUUGUGAAGAACACAGGUGACAGAAGGGACUGCUGCCAUUGGCAGAUGAGGACACUGAUGCUCCGGGAGGUCUCCUGGCGGAGAACUGGAGACACUGGCUGAUAAUAUUGCACUAUCAUGUGGAAAUCCUCUGCCAGCCGGUGAAGAUGGACAUGCGAUGGAGGAGACCAAGCACAACCCGGAAUGGGGUGUCUCCCGUCAGAGCCUGUGUCGGUCUCACCACCUCCAACCCUUGAACUUUGAAGAUUCCUGGGGAGGAAAGAGCAGAGCGGUGGAUGCCACUGGGCUAUGCUAGGCGGCCGGCAAGGAUCCGUCCAGGAAGGUGUGGGCAGGUGGGAGUGGGUCACUGGCCUUGCACAGGCAGCUCGUUCUGCAGUGGCAGCUGAAGAAAGAGCCCCGGCCACACCCUCGCUCCAGGCUCUGGGCUCCAUUCUGAAGAAUUCCUGUGGCUCUGGCCUUGCAAGAAUUUUCAGAGUCAGACCCUACAUUCCCACCCACCCUUCAGCCGAGAGAAGUCUCACCGCUGCCUCGGCACCUGCGGAAGACAGUGGUUCUGUCUGUUCUUGUGAAGCUCUCAUCACUGAUCAUGUCCAGGUACCCAGAUUUACUGCACUUUCCUCAAGUCUCAAUUCGAGUUCGCUCAGUAGCCUGUCAGAACGCUCCCCUUGGUACUCGGCACAUGCAGUUCCACUAACACAGCUCCUACAGUGACCCUAUUCGCUGAAUUGCUUUGAGAAAUGUACUAAACUAAAACUGGCACAUAAAUUCGAGAGGAGGUAUUGCUGCCGUUCUCUCCUGGGUGGCCUUGAUCUGUGACCUUCCCUUUCUCAUCUCUGCCUCAGGCAGAUCGCCCCCUGCACCUCUCAGAAAGUGUUUGCAUUUUAAGCCAACCUCCCUUAAAAUCUUAAACAUAUCUUUUCUUUAUUUUAAGAACAAAAUAAUACAUUUGGGAACAUGCCAAUUUAACUUGGAGUCUUAAAAUAAGUGCAAAAUUGUGAGGUUGUCACGGUCAUGUUUAUUAAGUAGAAUUUGGCGUUCUUGUUCCAUGGUAUUAAUAAAGGAUGA
Molecule: long non-coding RNA, 1229 nt
Organism: Myotis brandtii (Brandt's bat)
Lineage: Eukaryota; Metazoa; Chordata; Mammalia; Chiroptera; Vespertilionidae
Exons: 7
Source: RefSeq, a predicted model, not a curated record